This 254-nucleotide ribosomal RNA is filed under the name uncultured bacterium. RNAcentral's name for it is "partial 16S ribosomal RNA". It matches the Rfam family "Bacterial small subunit ribosomal RNA", at positions 524 to 776 of the family's 1533-position model. The record is from RNAcentral.
UACGAAGGGGGCUAGCGUUGUUCGGAAUCACUGGGCGUAAAGCGCACGCAGGCGGGUCGUUAAGUCAGGGGUGAAAUCCCGAGGCUCAACCUCGGAACUGCCUUUGAUACUGGCGACCUUGGAGUCCGGGAGAGGUGAGUGGAACUGCGAGUGUAGAGGUGAAAUUCGUAGAUAUUCGCAAGAACACCAGUGGCGAAGGCGGCUCACUGGCCCGGUACUGACGCUGAGGUGCGAAAGCGUGGGGAGCAAACAGG